GACCCCGCCCAUCGCCGGGUAAUCAACGGUCCGUCUGAACCGAACUGCAGUGCAGAGCCGGGAUGGGGGGCUUGGCCCCGGUCCAGCACGGUCAAAAUUAGCUCUCUUUUGAAUUACAUGCAGUCAGCCAUUGGAAGCGGCUGAGUUCCAGUCCUGCAGCCUUGUAUGGGGUGUCAGAGCCCCGCAAGGCUGCUGCUCGGGUCUGCCUUCAUCCACAGACGUCUUUUCCAGCAGUAACUUUACAGUGAAAGGACAAGAACAAAGGCUUUAUCUGUUCCUUCUUCAAAAUGACACCAACAGAAGCAAUGGGGGAUCCCAUUAGAGCGAACGGCCUUGUUCCCGAGCCUGGCGGUGUGGAGAGGAACCGCCACGAAAGAUCGACAUUCCUGUCUGAUGUAGGAUAGAGAACAUGGCCCUCCGGGGGAGAGAUUGUAUCCUCAUAAAAACCUGGGACUCUAAGCCUUGAUGAUAUGCUCUUCGGAA
Rhinichthys klamathensis goyatoka is the source of this 483-nucleotide long non-coding RNA. RefSeq lists it as uncharacterized. The transcript has 4 exons. Lineage: Eukaryota; Metazoa; Chordata; Actinopteri; Cypriniformes; Leuciscidae. The record is from RefSeq and is a predicted model, not a curated record.